UACGUAGGGGGCAAGCGUUAUCCGGAUUUACUGGGUGUAAAGGGAGCGUAGACGGAAUUGCAAGUCUGAUGUGGAAAUCCGGGGCCCAACCCCGGAACUGCAUUGGAAACUGUAUUUCUAGAGUGUCGGAGAGGCAAGUGGAAUUCCUGGUGUAGCGGUGAAAUGCGUAGAUAUUAGGAGGAACACCAGUGGCGAAGGCAUCUCACGAAUCCGCUAUUGACGCUGAUGCACGAAAGCGUGGGUAUCAAACAGG
Molecule: ribosomal RNA, 253 nt
Filed under: uncultured Blautia sp.
Lineage: Bacteria; Bacillati; Bacillota; Clostridia; Lachnospirales; Lachnospiraceae
Description: partial 16S ribosomal RNA
Rfam family: Bacterial small subunit ribosomal RNA
Source: RNAcentral